UAUUCUGACCCACGGGGAAGGAUGAGAAGCUUCGACUAAGGUUCGACUCGAGCGAAGCGAGAGAACGUUGCCGCAGGCAACGGCCCGAAGGGCGAGGCGCUUUAGCGCCGAGUAAUCCUUCCCCCACCACUG
This 132-nucleotide small RNA is filed under the name Klebsiella pneumoniae. RNAcentral's name for it is "RtT sRNA". It matches the Rfam family "RtT RNA". From Rfam's summary of the family: This family represents a bacterial cis-regulatory element known as RtT RNA. The record is from RNAcentral. Lineage: Bacteria; Pseudomonadati; Pseudomonadota; Gammaproteobacteria; Enterobacterales; Enterobacteriaceae.